This 426-nucleotide long non-coding RNA is filed under the name Pan troglodytes (chimpanzee). Its description in RNAcentral is "long non-coding RNA NONPTRT001801". Lineage: Eukaryota; Metazoa; Chordata; Mammalia; Primates; Hominidae. The record is from RNAcentral.
CCAAGAGCUCCUCAAGCAGAGGAUACUCAAUUGGAAAGGAGGCUCUUGCAGUCAAAUUUGGGGCUAGUGGGGUUACCACGUUUGAUACCAACUAGGAACAAGAUCCCCUUAGAGGCUUCCAACUGAGGAGGGUUCCAAAAGAGAGCUCCAUAGCUGAAAUGAUUCAAAAGAAGCCAACUCCUUCUCAUUGAUCUGGCCCUUUGGAAUAUGGCCCCCUCCUCCCACGGCAUCCUUCCCCCUGCCCAGUGCCUCAGGCCCAUCUACAUGCUUCUACCUAUAGGCUUUGCUUCUUCUCUGGAAAGGAGCGAAGAAGGAAAAGAAUCAUUGGAGAAUUGAUCUCAAACACUGUCAUGAAUCCCCAAGGGCCAGAGAGACACACAGCAUGGACCAAGGAAGUGAUUUUCCACCCCUGAGGCAUAACACCAG